This 428-nucleotide ribosomal RNA is filed under the name Reticulitermes flavipes (eastern subterranean termite). Its description in RNAcentral is "partial 16S ribosomal RNA". It matches the Rfam family "Archaeal large subunit ribosomal RNA", at positions 1889 to 2554 of the family's 2987-position model. Lineage: Eukaryota; Metazoa; Arthropoda; Insecta; Blattodea; Rhinotermitidae. The record is from RNAcentral.
CGCCUGUUUAUCAAAAACAUCUCUUCUCGUUAGUUUUUGAAGUAUGGCCUGCCCACUGACCUUGAAUGUUGAAGGGCCGCGGUAUUUUGACCGUGCAAAGGUAGCAUAGUCAUUAGUUCUUUAAUUGUGAUCUGGUAUGAAUGGCUUGACGAGGCAUAAGCUGUCUUAAUUUUGAAUUGUUUAUUGAAUUUGGUCUUUGAGUUAAAAUUCUUAGAUGUUUUUAUGGGACGAGAAGACCCUAUAGAGUUUAACAUUUAUUACGGUCUCUUUCUGUUUGUGAGGGUUCACUAGGGCUGUUUAAUAUGUUUUGUUGGGGUGAUGGGAGGGAUAUUAUUUAACCCCUCCUUUGUGUUGUUAUAUUUAUUUAUAUUUGCUUGAUCCAUUUAUUUUGAUUGUAAGAUUAAAUUACCUUAGGGAUAACAGCGUAA